Molecule: long non-coding RNA, 2366 nt
Organism: Eurytemora carolleeae
Lineage: Eukaryota; Metazoa; Arthropoda; Copepoda; Calanoida; Temoridae
Exons: 3
Source: RefSeq, a predicted model, not a curated record
UAUUACGAGUAUUCAUCUCUGGAUCAGAUAAUGAAUGAAACGCAUCUAAGAAAUUCAGAGGUUUACACUGAAAUAAAAUUCGUGGAAAAAAUGCUGCAACGAAGACGACAUUUGGAGGCAGCCUGUCUGCAGUAUAGAGAUAUGGUUAACGAACACACCACGCCAAAAAUGAAGUCUGUAGAUCCAAAAUCUAUUGAGUAUCCUGUAUUAACUGGAAAAGGUAAACCUUUAAAACUUAAAAAUUAAGUAAAACAUAAAAAGUCGUCAUUGAUCUUACAAUUAGAAUUUUUUUUAAUAACUAACAAAUUUGAAAAUAUAUAUUGAUAUAGAAUCAUAUAGAGUAUACAGAAAACGUCAGAGAUUGGUCUUUAAAGUAUACGUUCUACCAUCAGAGAUGGGCAUCUUUACAGUAUACACCCUACCAUUAGAGAUGGGCAUCUUUACAGUAUACACCCUACCAUUAGAGAUGGGCAUCUUUACAGUAUACGCCCUACCAUUAGAGAUUGGGAUCUUUACAGUAUACGCCCUACCAUUAGAGAUUGACAUAUUUACAGUAUAGACCCUACCAUUAGAGAAUGACAUCUUUACAGUAUACGCCCUACCAUUAGAGAUUGACAUCUUUACAGUAUACACCAUACCAUUAGAGGUUGACAUCUUUACAGUAUACACCAUACCAUUAGAGAUUGACAUCUUUACAGUAUACACCAUACCAUUAGAGGUUGCAGGAUCUUUACAGUAUACGCCCUACCAUUAGAGAUUGACAUAUUUACAGUAUAGACCCUACCAUUAGAGAUUGGCAUCUUUACAUUAUACACUCUACCAUUAGAGGUUGGGAUCUUUACAGUAUACGCCCUACCAUUAGAGAUGGGCAUCUUUACAGUAUAGACCCUACCAUUAGAGAUUGGGAUCUUUACAGUAUACAGUACACCCUACCAUUAGAGAUGGGCAUCUUUACAGUAUAGACCCUACCAUUAGAGAUUGACAUCUUUACAGUAUACACCCUACCAUUAGAGGUUGGCAUGUUUACAGUAUACACCCUAUCAUUAGAGAUUGGCAUCUUUACAGUAAACACCCUAAGAUUGGCAUUUUACAGUAUACACCCUACCAUUAGAGAUGGGCAUCUUUACAGUAUACACCCUACCAUUAGAGAUGGGCAUCUUUACAGCUUAUAGUAUACACCUUACCGUUAGAGAUGGGCAUCUUUACAGUAUACACCCUACCAUUAGAGAUGGGUAUCUUUACAUUAUACACCCUACCAUCAGAGAUGGGCAUCUUUACAGUAUACACCCUACCACCCUACCAUUACAGAUGGGCAUCUUUAACGUGAACAAGCGAAAUAUUUCACAACGAACGAAAUUUUUCUUGAACAAGGAAUCGUUCAGAAAAAUAAACGAACGAUGCAAGACAAACGAAUUGGUUCGUUCAGGUAACUAAAUAAACGAAUGCUUUUUCUUUAGGAACGAAUAAAUAACCAAAUAAAAAUCGUUGACGAUCGUUCAAAUUUUUCGACUUUUUAAACAACCUUGAAAAAACGAUAGUUUUUUUUUAAUUAAUUAAGGAUUUUUAAAAAUAAACUUUUUUAAUUUGUUUUAAAAUAUUUUUAAAUAAAACGUUCAAACCUUUCAUGGGGCCAUGCGAGAUGCCACGAAAAAUCGUGUUCAAUCGGUUUCAAGUUUUGACACUUAUAAUUCCAAACUUAGUUAACGAGAAUUGUGAAUGUCUAAUAUGGAUGUUUGAUAUAUUAAAAUUCCGACACUACCUUUAUUCAAAGUCAAAGUUUUUUAAAAGCCAAUUUUAUUUCUUCUCCUUGCAUGUGCCUGACACAUCACACCAAAAGGUUUGCGUGUCAGAAAUUUUGUAUACAAUGCAUGGAACUUAUUUUUAACAAAAAACUACCUGCACUUGUUUUUGAAAAUUUAUAAUCACGGUUGAUUUAUCGCUUAUACAUGUUUUGCAAUGUUUCCAAUAGAACGGAAACUAUUGAUAACAUUAAUCUUGUGAUAAAGUAUCGGAACAGCUACAGAUAAACCCAGAACUGGGAAGUAUCGAAAAAUGUCGUCUUGACAAUUUUUUAUUGGGUUUUACACUUUUAUACCUAAAUUUCAGUAAUUGUAAAAACCUCAGAAUAUGUAUAAUAUAGAAUAACAGGUGGCAGCAUUUGGUUUGGGAAGUGUUGGACUGUGGGGGUUAUGCAGUACAAUACAUAAAUGUCCAGAUGUUCAGUAAUCUUUGGGGGGAAUUUUGAAGAUUCACUAUCCAAACUUUCUCUUGUUAUCUUUUUAUCAUUACUUCAAUUAAUCAAACACGUAUUUUCAAAACUGUUUCAAAUAGUUUUCUUCCUUUCAAAAUUUGAAAAAGAAAACCAA